Oncorhynchus tshawytscha (Chinook salmon) is the source of this 1164-nucleotide long non-coding RNA. RefSeq lists it as uncharacterized. NCBI's taxonomy places the organism in Eukaryota, Metazoa, Chordata, Actinopteri, Salmoniformes, Salmonidae. The transcript has 3 exons. The record is from RefSeq and is a predicted model, not a curated record.
UUAUAUCCCAGGACAAAUUUGCAGGCAACAAUAAGCUAGCUAAAUAGGACAAAUUAGCUAGCAAGUGCAAGCUAACUAGCUAAAUUGCCAUACAUAUUUAAUGAUUUUCGACCUGUGCCCAAAUUAAUGUCAUUGGUUCAGAGUUUGUUUUGAUAUUUUAACCUGCGUGUCGUGAUCGCGUUUGGUGAAGGGGGACAAAAUAAAUAUAUGCACGAUGGCGCACGCGCGCAGCCGGUUUGAGUUCCGUGUUCAGAUUGAGCGUCGGGGAUCGAGGGAAACCACCCCCUACUGAAGAUGCCAUCCUCCAAUUACCCAUAUGUGUAAUGUAAUGGAACUAAGUCAUGAUCAAGGGCUAGGAACUAAGUCAUGAUCAAGGGCUAGGUACGUCGGUGAUCACUGUUAUUUUGUUCUCAGCCAACACUACUUCAAUCCCCCUACCCUACUGUUUUUAAUUUAAUGAGUUUAUAAAGGGAAUUUUGAAGGUAACCGAUGGCUUAAUUAUAGCCAGUAACUACUGUACCAUACGUGGACUAAGAUGUCGCUGAUGUAGCCUACUGUUCACUGUCCUAAGAUGCUGGGAGUGUGCUGCUUACCGGCCCUUGGAGGAUCCUGGCGUGGACUGAGAACUCAAAUGCUAUGAAAUCCGGUCAGAGAAAGGGGAGAAGCCCACAGCUCUGACCCUGUGUGAUGUGUUGGCUCUGGGGGACGGUGAGACGACUGGCCUGACCCUCCCAGACGCACUGGCUGUCAUCAACGGGCACGCCCCCGAUCGACACAAGCAGGAGCCACAGGAUCCCUGGUCUCUGAUCUCUUUGAUGGUGGGACAGUUGGGCCACUGCAGCCGUGCGUCAAAGCUGUCUGGCAGACUCAUGUCCUCAUCAGACUGCACCCUGUGGAGGGAGAAGAGGAACAAGCUUGGGCUUUGAUAACUUACGUUGGCCUGCAUGUGUAGGGUGGCAUUAAUAUGAGAGCAGUAUGAAUUGGGUCCAUUUUGGUCAAUCCAUGCAGACAAACACACACACUCACAGCUCUGGCAGCCUGGGUCCCUUCAGCAGGGUUCCACACAAACUCUUCACAUAACUGAUGUCAACAUUGUGGAAGUUCUGGCCAGCCUGGGGAGAUGUAUAAAAAAAAAAAAAGGAAAGUGUCAAAGGAAAGGAAAGA